Molecule: non-coding RNA, 81 nt
Organism: Anaeramoeba flamelloides
Lineage: Eukaryota; Anaeramoebidae
Source: the annotation of a GenBank genome assembly
GCAUAGUUGGCCGAGUGGUUAAGGCGUUGGAUUCAAGUCCCAAUGGAGUAAUCCGCACAGGUUCGAGUCCUGUACUAUGCA